CCUACGGGGGGCAGCAGUGAGGAAUAUUGGUCAAUGGACGAGAGUCUGAACCAGCCAAGUAGCGUGAAGGAUGACUGCCCUAUGGGUUGUAAACUUCUUUUAUAUGGGAAUAAAAUGUUCCACGUGUGGGAUUUUGUAUGUACCAUAUGAAUAAGGAUCGGCUAACUCCGUGCCAGCAGCCGCGGUAAUACGGAGGAUCCGAGCGUUACCCGGAUUUAUUGGGGUUAAAGGGGGCGUAGGUGGAUUGUUAAGUCAGGUGUGAAAGUUUGCGGCUCAACCGUAAAAUUGCAGUUGAAACUGGCAGUCUUGAGUACAGUAGAGGUGGGCGGAAUUCGUGGUGUAGCGGUGAAAUGCUUAGAUAUCACGAAGAACUCCGAUUGCGAAGGCAGUUCACUGGACUGCAACUGACACUGAGGCUCGAAAGUGUGGGUAUCAAACAGGAUUAGAUACCCCAGUAGUC
Molecule: ribosomal RNA, 460 nt
Filed under: uncultured bacterium
Lineage: Bacteria
Description: partial 16S ribosomal RNA
Rfam family: Bacterial small subunit ribosomal RNA
Source: RNAcentral